This is a long non-coding RNA of Zootermopsis nevadensis, 1555 nucleotides long. RefSeq lists it as uncharacterized. The record is from RefSeq and is a predicted model, not a curated record. Lineage: Eukaryota; Metazoa; Arthropoda; Insecta; Blattodea; Termopsidae.
GAAUGGAACAAUAAAUCUAAAAAACACGUCGAGGAAGUUACAAUACUAAGUAAAAGUUAACUAAAGUGUUUUAAACGCAAUACUGCCGAAAAAUAUGCUAUCUACCGCCUCCAUGUCACAGCACAACCAACAUGCACGCCAUUACUGAAUAAGCAUGCGUGGAAAACUGUUGAACUACGUUAAAAACACCAUUGGUCCAGCUAUCUGCAAUGUGCAUGCGGCCAGUACGUACGCUGUUAGCACUUGAGGUAUUUCACAAACAGGCGGCUUUUCUUAACACGUUUCUGUACCACAGAAUAAAUAAUUCAAAUAUAUUUCAUUCGCCAACGGAUUCAAAAUCGUUUGUUCACGCAUGAAAACAAAAAUCCCACUUUUUUGUGCAAACUGUAUCAAAGUAGGCUACUGUUCUCCGAUCCUUUGGUAACGCAUGCCAUUCUCAAUAUCAAAUCACAUAUGUAAGGUAGACCUGAAGUUGUGCCUGUGCUUGAGGUAUGGAGACAUGGACGAUUCCACAUACAUAUGUUUAACUCUGGAACUAAAAAAGUGAGUCAGAAGAUGGCUGUCUUCUGAGACCUCUGAAACUUUGGUAAACUACCAGACUACAGGCAUCUUAUGAUUCCAGAGGCUGCAAGUUUCCAUUACAUGUAGCUUGUAGCAUAAGAACAUAUGCCUCAAUAUUUAGGUUUUCUUCCUGCUGUAACUAAUGGACAAUGCACUAUGUUUAAUGUCAACAAACACACUCAGGUAGAUACAUAAUGAUUUUCAGUGCUGUAUCAUGUAUAGUGGCCUGACUUACCUAAGGAGAGACUGAAAAUUGUGGUCAGGUCUCCGAGAAAGACCACUAAGUUAUAACAGAUGAUAUUUGGCAUAUGUUUAUUAUUUGUGUACCAUUUAAUGCCAGGCCUGUAAACAUUUUUCACUCCUAAAAUUUUAACAAAGUUGUCCACUAACAAUUUUUACUAAAAUUUAAAUAUAAUUAAAGCUACAAACUUUUCAGUAUCAACUCAACCAGGACUGCAUAGCACUUUAAUGCACGCCACUCCCUUUUUCUGAACAACCUUGGUAAACAAAAGCAUAUCAACCAGUAUUAAAGUUACAUGGAUACUGUCACACAACUAUACAAAUGUUUACUUCAAUUACAGCAGUAAAAUGUUUACACUACAUAUUUCAGCAACUCGCCAUCUUUGCACGCUCAGAUGCAUGGAAUGUCAAUGAUAUAUACUAAAAUAUAUAAAUCACAUAAUGGAUAGGCGACACAAUGACAUUCCACGCAUCUGAGCACCUGAAGGUAGCAAGCUGUUAGAGCAAGUAGUGGAAACAUUUUGCUACUGUAAUUGAAAUGAAUAUUUAUAUCAUUGUACUGAUGGUAUCCAAAAACAUUAAUGAGUAAUAUACACAACAGGAUGUCACCUAUUAAGAAUAUCAAUUAGCAGUCAGUUUUCUCUUCUGUCACAGUGAACUCAGCUGUUUUUAGAUUACAACCAUGAAAGAAUUAAAAAGACUGAACUGUUUAUGUAGCAACCUUAUUUGUAGUGAAUAAAAAAGAACAGAACUA